GGGCGACUGAACCGGGAGGAGCCCAGCGCAUAACCUCGUGUGUCCUCACCGGCCCCGAGGGGUGUUGCGUUUCGGAGGGGUCCAGCACGCCGUGACAUACUGCCUAAGUCUCAGUUUGGAACGCGGCCACUACCCAGGGAGGGUGACAGGCCCGUACGGCGGUUCCCGCGAGGGCAUAGAUGUCGCGGUCGGAAAGGACCUCUCUGUAGAGUCGGGUUGCUUGAAAGUGCAGCCCAAAGCAGGUGGUAAACUCCAUCUAAGGCUGAAUAUGGCCAGGAGACCGAUAGAGAACAAGUACCGUGAGGGAAAGUUGAAAAGAACUUUGAAGAGAGAGUUCAAGAGUACGUGAAACCGUUAAGAGCCAAACGGAUGGAAGCUCGAAGGUCGAACUUGGGGGAUUCAGUUCGUCGGCCGUCGGCUGUGGUCGGGUGUUCGUUAAUUCGCAUGCGACCCGAGAGUGCUUGGGCGCGCUCGACUGCACGCUGGCGUCGGCGGGCGUACUUCGCCUUUAGUAGAGCGCCGCGACCCGUCGCUGGGGACGUCGAAGGCCCGGACGGACUGGUACCCUACCUCCAAACCGUGGUGGUUGUCCCUGUUCGCGGGGACGACUAUGGCGAGUGCCGGGGGUAGGCGAAACCGCCGGUGUAUUUCCUGGCUGCCCUGCGACGGCCGUAGAGACAAGAUCCGCUCUCCUCCUCCCUCCCUCUCCUCCUCGUGGGGAGAGCGGAUGAUGAGACGGGGCUCUCGCGGCGUGCAAAUAGAUCGGUGGUCCAUCCGACCCGUCUUGAAACACGGACCAAGGAGUCUAACAUGUGUGCGAGUCAUUGGGCGCACUAAACCCAAAGGCGUAAUGAAAGUGACAAAGCAUUCCGCGCGUCCGUGUGUGUCGUUCCACGGCCCCCGGGCGCCGGAAAAUGGGCCGAUCCCCAGCCCGCUGUGUGCCUCUGCCGUUGCUCCCCGUCGUCCAGGCAUGCCUAGGUGAGGUAAUUUCCCUGGCCGCUGCCCAGUGAGUCGUCGUGGGAGUGGGUGGUUGGAGCGCGAAGGCGUGUGAGUAACAUCACGUAUCCUGUCCGCAGGGGGGCGCACGCCCGGGACUUGCCAAGACGCCGCCAGGCCGGCCACCUCUCUCUCUCCCUGCGGUGUGUGUGUGUGUGUGUACGUAUGUAUGUGUGUGCGCUGUGCGAGGUUUAGGAGGGGUUCUGCUCCUCCGGCCGAGCUGAUGCAGCAAUCUGCUGCUGCUGCUGCACCACCACCACCUGCAGUUGGUAUUGUGGUGGUCAUCAGGCGUGCAGUCGGCAAGUACCAUGAGCAGACACGUUAGCACCCGAAAGAUGGUGAACUAUGCCUGGCCAGGAUGAAGCCAGAGGAAACUCUGGUGGAGGUCCGUAGCGAAUCUGACGUGCAAAUCGAUCGUCUGAGCUGGGUAUAGGGGCGAAAGACUAAUCGAACCAUCUAGUAGCUGGUUCCCUCUGAAGUUUCCCUAAGGAUAGCUGGAACUCGCAGGAUGAAUUUCAUCCGGUAAAGCGAAUGAUUAGAGGUCUUGGGGACGAAACGUCCUCAACCUAUUCUCAAACUUUAAAUGGGUGAGAUGCCGAGCUUGCUUGAACGCCGCCGCCGCCGACGCCGCCUCUGUGUGUGUGUGAGUGUGUGUGUGUGGUGAAGCUUCGGCGACUAAUCUGAGUAUCUAGUGGGCCAAUUUUGGUAAGCAGAACUGGCGCUGUGGGAUGAACCAAACGUCGAGUUAAGGGGCCUAAAUGAAUGCUUAUUCAGAUCCCAUCGAAAGGCGUUGGUUGCUCUAGACAGCAGGACGGUGGCCAUGGAAGUUGGAAUCCGCUUAGGAGUGUGUAACAACUCACCUGCCGAAGCAACUAGUCCUGAAAAUGGUAUGGCGCUCAAGCACUCUCCCGAUACUCGACCGCCGGGGCACUAGCGGCCACGCACCAACACCAGGUGCGAGGUCUCGAAGCCCCGGUGAGUAAGAGGGUCGCAGUGGUGAGCUUAGAAGGGGUCCGGCGUGAGCCGGCCUGGAGCCGCCACUGGUGCAGAUCUUGGUGGUAGUAGCAAAUAUUCGAGAGAGACGCCCUUGCAGACCGAUGUGGAGAAGGGUUCCAUGUGAACAUCAGUUGGACAUGGGUUAGUCGCUCCUAAGUCCAAGGCCAAGGCCUGAUCCCACGGUAGCGGCAAAGGCCAACCAACCAACGAACGAACCAACCAAUGAACUAACCUAACCAACCUAUAACCACAACUACAUCCGCCAACGCUCCAAAGAAGCAGGUAUUUCCAAAGGUACCAAGGUGUAGGUUUUGGUAGGUAGGUAGGAAGUAAGGUUUUGGAUCGGUUGGUCCKACCACCCAAAGAGUCGACAACCUAACCCUUGCGUGCGUGCGUGCGUGCGUGCACAUGUCGCAAGGGGGCCCUCGCCGGCCGGAGUUCGCAUUCCUUUGCGUGUGUGACUCUGGCCACUCCCAUCCCAAAGGUGCCCACGCGUCUUUGGAGUUGCCUACGGGUUAGUGGCGAAAGGGAAUACGGUAAAUAUUCCGUAACCUGGACUGGGAUACACUGCAGCCGCAAGCACUGCUUGGACUGUGUGUGAAGUACGUCCGCUGACGGGAACCAACUCGCCUACGCCGGCGGUGGUCCGGGAAAGAGUUUUCUUUUCUGUUUAAGGCGCCGUGACCCUGGCAAGCCAUUUGCCGAAAGAGAGGGUGUUGGUAUAACGGUUUAUGCCGAAGAGCGCCGCGGUUCAUGCGGCGUCCCGAGUGCCAUCGCCGGUCCUUGAAACAGCGAGGGAUUGGU
RNAcentral lists this ribosomal RNA (2796 nucleotides) under Engaeus cunicularius. RNAcentral's name for it is "eukaryotic LSU rRNA". It matches the Rfam family "Eukaryotic large subunit ribosomal RNA", at positions 87 to 1826 of the family's 3401-position model. The record is from RNAcentral. Lineage: Eukaryota; Metazoa; Arthropoda; Malacostraca; Decapoda; Parastacidae.